AUUUUGUUAUUUUAGUGUUCUAAUGACAAACUUAUCAAAUUUAGUUUUAAAUUUUCUUUUAAUACUCUCUAAAAAAUAUAUUUAAAGAAGUGAUUUUCUCAAUAGUAACUCCAACAGAAGUGCCAAACAAACCCUUGGCCCUACCAAGAAAUUCAUAUUCAGUCACAUCCACCAAAAAGCAUUUACCAUUGUUUUGGGAUUCACCCAAAAAAGAUGUAAAAUCCCUAAGGAUCAAUUAGGAUACAGCAAAGUAUAACCUAAAAUGAAGAAAAAAAAAACUGAAAAUAUUGUAUGCAUUAAAUGUUGGGUAGAAAUUUGUAGAGCACAUUAGGUUAGAUGA
This 340-nucleotide unclassified non-coding RNA is filed under the name Hevea brasiliensis (rubber tree). The record is from RNAcentral. Lineage: Eukaryota; Viridiplantae; Streptophyta; Magnoliopsida; Malpighiales; Euphorbiaceae.